GCGUGCGGGAUGACGGCCUUCGGGUUGUAAACCGCUUCCAGCAGGGAUGAAAUUGACAGUACCUGCAGAAGAAGCCCCGGCUAACUACGUGCCAGCAGCCGCGGUAAUACGUAGGGGGCAAGCGUUAUCCGGAUUCAUUGGGCGUAAAGCGCGUGUAGGCGGCUUGUUAAGUCAGAUGUGAAAACCGGGGGCUCAACCCGCGGCCUGCAUCUGAAACUGGCAGGCUUGAGUCUGGUAGAGGAAAGUGGAAUUCCUAGUGUAGCGGUGAAAUGCGCAGAUAUUAGGAGGAACACCAGUGGCGAAGGCGGCUUUCUGGGCCACGACUGACGCUGAGACGCGAAAGCUAGGGGAGCAAACAGGAUUAGAUACCCUGGUAGUCCUAGCUGUAAACGAUGGGCACUAGGUGUGGGGGGUCAUCGACUCCCUCCGUGCCGUAGCUAACGCAUUAAGUGCCCCGCCUGGGGAGUAC
RNAcentral lists this ribosomal RNA (469 nucleotides) under uncultured Actinomycetes bacterium. RNAcentral describes it as "bacterial SSU rRNA". It matches the Rfam family "Bacterial small subunit ribosomal RNA", at positions 399 to 883 of the family's 1533-position model. Lineage: Bacteria; Bacillati; Actinomycetota; Actinomycetes. The record is from RNAcentral.